Molecule: long non-coding RNA, 974 nt
Filed under: Equus asinus (donkey)
Lineage: Eukaryota; Metazoa; Chordata; Mammalia; Perissodactyla; Equidae
Description: lncRNA (ENSEASG00005030399.1)
Source: RNAcentral
ACAAUUUACUGAUGUAUCCAUUUUUUCCCCUUAGAUUGAAAUGCUGAGUCAGUACUGUUCUUUCAUAUGUCCAUGUGCUUCAGACUAGAAUUUAAUGAGAAAAUUCUAACUGGGAGAUGUUCUGUCCAGAGCCUCCACCACUUCUGUCAAUCUAAUCAUGCCUCCAGGUGGAAAAAGAUAAUGUUAGAAACGAAGAGUCCUUGAAACACCACUUCCAAAUUCCAACAAAACGCAGAAUUCUCCUUUGUUGAACAUCUUGCUUCACCAUAAACUCUAAAUCUUUUGGUGGCUUAGAAAAAGUUGGCAUGUGGCAGAGUCCUGCUACACAGAUAGAGACAUCAGAGAAUGGGCUCUUGGCCAUACUCGGCACACAUUCUGAAGACGUGGCCCCAUGCCACCGCAUCCCCUUACACUCAAUGUGCCAUUGGGCUCAAGAGCGAGGGCAGCCUGGACAUGAAAAAUAACCUGAACUUCAUGGAUGGGUUUGAUAGAUGAAGAAAAAUGCUCUACAGCUCUUCACUCCAUUCCAGCUAGUAAAUUUGUGGGUUAAGACAUAGCCUCCCCAAAGAGUGGAAGAGUUCAGGACAUCUGAAUUGUCAGUUGGAAGCAAGAAGGGUCAUGCCCCAUCUCUCUCACCUUCCUUGUUUCUUAUUGGAACGGCAGAGCCAUCUCUCAAGUCAUGGGAGCCCUACUGACAAGGAGUGGGAAAUACAAGGGAAGCAAACUCGCCGGCUGCACACACCAGCCCCAGGCUCCCUUUGAAGUCAAUGGGAGACCUACACUACCCACGAGGAUUGAGGCAGCAUUACUCUUACAUAUCCCCAGUACCCAGAAGAGAAUUUUGCUUAAUAGUGAAUAUUUACUGAGUAAUGAAUGAAUACUGCAAGAGCUUGACAUCAAGUCCUAGCUAUUUAUGGAGUAGGCUUCUUAACUAUCAUUAGAAUGUGUGGGAAAGUCACUUAAAAAGACAAAGU